CCCUUAGAUGCUCUGGGCCGCACGCGCGCUACACUGGUCGAUGCAACGAGUUUCUUUCCUUGGCCGACAGGCUCGGGCAAUCUUUGAACGCUGGUCGUGAUGGGGAUAGACUUUUGCAAUUUUUGGUCUUCAACGAGGAAUUCCUAGUAAACGCAAGUCAUCAACUUGCAUUGAUUACGUCCCUGCCCUUUGUACACACCGCCCGUCGCACCUACCGAUUGAAUGGUCCGGUGAAGCCUCCGGAUUGGCGCGCACCUCGGUGCCGCCGAGAAGUUGGCUAAACCUUACCAUUUAGAGGAAGGUGAAGUCGUAACA
Molecule: ribosomal RNA, 315 nt
Filed under: uncultured eukaryote
Lineage: Eukaryota
Description: partial 18S ribosomal RNA
Rfam family: Eukaryotic small subunit ribosomal RNA
Source: RNAcentral